AUGAGGUAAGGAAAGGGUAUUAAAUUGAGGACUAAUAGAGAACCAAUUCACAUCGUAUGGGCAUGCAUGAGAAAGAUCUAUGAAGACCCAGGUACGGAGAGGCAUUCUAGUCUAUAUCUGAAGGUUGGAAUGAGGGGAAGACAUGAUCUUGCAUGGACAGAAGUUGUGUGAAAGGAUUUUUGAAAGCUUCAAUAAUAUAUAAGGUCACAUUUCUCAGGACCCACCGGUGAACAAGGAUUCAUAUGGUCAGUCCCCAAGAGGAGACAAAGCUUCAUGGUUAUGUAAUUUUUUUCCAAUCUAACAAUAAUUAUAGCACACAAAUUUUGGAAUCAACCAAAGAUCG
Molecule: long non-coding RNA, 343 nt
Filed under: Phoenix dactylifera (date palm)
Lineage: Eukaryota; Viridiplantae; Streptophyta; Magnoliopsida; Arecales; Arecaceae
Description: long non-coding RNA (PDAC_LNC022341)
Source: RNAcentral